AGUCACACCGGAACUGAGACACGGUCCGCCCUCCUACGGGAGGCAGCAGUGGGGAAUAUUGGACAAUGGGCGCAAGCCUGAUCCAGCAAUGCCGCGUGUGUGAAGAAGGCCUUCGGGUUGUAAAGCACUUUAAGUUGGGAAGAAAAAACUCGCUCUAACACAGUGAGUCUUGACGGUACCGACAGAAUAAGCACCGGCUAACUCUGUGCCAGCAGCCGCGGUAAUACAGAGGGUGCAAGCGUUAAUCGGAUUUACUGGGCGUAAAGCGUGCGUAGGCGGUUUGUUAAGUCGGUUGUGAAAGCCCUGGGCUCAACCUGGGAAUUGCAGUCGAUACUGGCAGGCUAGAGAACGGUAGAGGGAGGCGGAACUCCAGGUGUAGCGGUGAAAUGCGUAGAUAUCUGGAAGAACACCGAUGGCGAAGGCAACCUCCUGGGCCUGUUCUGACGCUGAGGCACGAAAGCGUGGGUAGCAAACAGGAUUAGAUACCCUGGUAGUCCACGCCGUAAACGAUGAGAACUUGACGUCGGGUUGCUUAGCAAUUCGGUGUCGCAGCUAACGCGAUAAGUUCUCCGCCUGGGGAGUACGGCCGCAAGGUUGAAACUCAAAGGAAUUGACGGGGGCCCGCACAAGCGGUGGAGUAUGUGGUUUAAUUCGAUGCAACGCCAAGAACCUUACCUGGUCUUGACAUGUCGAG
Molecule: ribosomal RNA, 694 nt
Filed under: uncultured bacterium
Lineage: Bacteria
Description: bacterial SSU rRNA
Rfam family: Bacterial small subunit ribosomal RNA
Source: RNAcentral